This 253-nucleotide ribosomal RNA is filed under the name uncultured bacterium. RNAcentral's name for it is "partial 16S ribosomal RNA". It matches the Rfam family "Bacterial small subunit ribosomal RNA", at positions 524 to 776 of the family's 1533-position model. The record is from RNAcentral.
UACGAAGGGGACUAGCGUUGUUCGGAAUUACUGGGCGUAAAGCGCACGUAGGCGGAUUUGUUAGUCAGGGGUGAAAUCCCGGGGCUCAACCUCGGAACUGCCUUUGAUACUGCAAGUCUCGAGUCCGAUAGAGGUGGGCGGAAUUCCUAGUGUAGAGGUGAAAUUCGUAGAUAUCUGGAGGAACACCGGUGGCGAAGGCGACAUCCUGGACCGGUAUUGACGCUGAGGCGCGAAAGCCAGGGGAGCAAACGGG